RNAcentral lists this long non-coding RNA (7943 nucleotides) under Triticum aestivum (bread wheat). RNAcentral describes it as "long non-coding RNA (TAES_LNC009015)". The record is from RNAcentral. Lineage: Eukaryota; Viridiplantae; Streptophyta; Magnoliopsida; Poales; Poaceae.
CCCUUUAUGUGGUGUCGCAUAGACGCCCGACUAUGGCAUGCUUGUUAUUUCUUUUAUUUAUAAGCCCUUUAUGUGGUGUCGCUCAGACGCCCGACUGAGGCAUGAUUUAUCUUAUUAUCCUUCCGAGGUGUCGCUUCAGACACUCGAUCGGUGCAUUCUAUUUCCACUCCCGUAUUGCAUAUUCAUAAUUUAUAUGAACAACCUGCAUGCGUGCAUCAUGGAUUUUGUUUAUUUCGUGACUGACGUUAUGAUUAUAGAAUAUUUCGGAGCAUGAUUAUCCCUUGUUAUAUUAUACCCGUGUUCAUAAUGUUUGCGAGUACAUUCAAAAGUACUCACUAGCUUGUCCCUGGCUAUUUUCUUGGCUAGAUUUCGCGCAUGGAGAGGAGCGUUGCGAUGACAGCCCCGGAACCUACGCAAUGAUGAUAGCAGCCUCGCGAAGAUAGGAGUUAUCCUGGUCAGCUGUCCCUGUGGGAAAUGGAGUCCCAUAGACGCAGAUGAACCACAAACCGCUUCCGCCAACAACCACUAGAAACCAUUUGUUGUACUCAUAGGCCACAAGGGUCUUGUACUACAUAUUUUGUACUUUGCUUGGAAUUUUUGUAUCAAGUCGGUGCCUCAUCAGCUAACAGUAAUCCUGGGGCUGGUGAGCACAAGGCCAUUUUCUGGGAAACUAAUAUCCCGAAAAUCCGGUCCUGACAAACUUGGUAUCAGAGCCAGGCUGACCAUUGGCUAAUACUAUCUUAGCCAGGUCAAUAAACCUAUGUUAACCCACCCACCAGACCAUAACCCAACCCCGGCCAAGCUUCUCGUGUAAGAUAGCCACACAGUGACCCCGGCACCUUUUUGGCAGUCGGUGCCCAACCUAUCAACCUAGCCCGUCGAUCACGCGCCAGUGACCUUCGCCUAAAUAGUCUCUUUCGCAAGCGUGCGAAGGAAGACUCCGUCCCCUUUUUUAUAAAAGGGCACACUAGCCUCAACCCAGCCCAGCACGGCCUCUUCCCCAAACCGAGCUACGAUGCCUGGACCCAUCAUGCACAAUGAGACCACAGCAACCAACCUUGGAGGUUUUGUGACCGUGCUCGUAAACCUCACCCGCCGUUCCUAUGCAUUAGAAGAGCCCCCAGAGUAUGUUGUGUACCAAGGACCCAUGAGCGGUGAGAGCCAUCAAUUCUGGGCCACUGUACACAUCUAUGGUAGGGGUCUAUCGCCAGAACGCCCCUACAGGUUCACUGGAAGGACAACUUCCUUUGAGCCACAAGCCAUCCAGCUAGCAGCUCGAGAAGCUAUAGUUCAACUGCAGCACUUGUCGCCCAUAGUUAACUGUCGCUCGUUCUACUACUACCCCAGCCGUGAUGGGUAUGGUAGGCCGCCCCAGGUUGCCAACGAAGAUCACGAGACGGAUCCUGCAUUGUUGCAUGUUGUGCUCUAUGUAAGUGCACUAGAGGAACUGCUCGAUCAAAUCACCCUUGAUCUGAUCGCAGCUCGUGGAGAACUGGUUCGCUGAGCCCCGGCGAGAGGAGAAGAUGAGCCCGACGCCGACAACCCAGUCGUGCUGUUCGGACACCCGAUCGAGUCCUUGAGGUCUACCCCAGCCAUCGACCAAAAUGCUUUGGUGUCCCUAGAAGUGCUUCGUCGCCUUUUGGGAACACGCUCCAAUGGGACUGUGGCCAACAACCCCCGCGAUAGUCAUCAUCGCUACCCCGACCCUGCAGCCCCUCAACCUCAUCCAGCUAAUCCCGACGGUGAAACCCGUGAAGAAGCCUCGACGUCCACAAGGCACGCCCGCCUGGAUAUUAACGAAGUAGACUAAGUCGCUCGAGUAGUACCGAGCCUUAGUAUUUCUACGCCUUGUAAUUGUGUGAUCCUGUAUCGCCAUAAUUAAAUGCUGUCUGCUUGUGCGCCCCUAUUUUUAAAUAGUAACCAUGCAUAAGUACGUUAACGUAUAGUUGCAUUUUUAAAUUCCGGGCGUAGCUACCAAAAACCAACCCCGACGACACCCACAGUAAUACGUCACAUUUAUGAGAUAUGUGUAUCUGUGGCAUUGACCCCGACCCCAAAAGCAGAACCGACAAACUAGUUACCUUUCACCACGGUAAAUAACCCAGCCCCAAUGCUAUAUAAAAGGCCACCUCGUGACCUUGCCAAGUACCCCUCACCUUGUGCACAACACUCACAGCCUUUUCCUUGCCAUGCCGACCCCCAGUAUUUAUCUGAGAACUCCAGACGCAACCCCGGGUAGUUUUGUUAAAAUAUUGUGGGACUUUACCUGCAGUACCAUGAGUGCUAUCCAUCCACAACAGUACGAGUUGCUCAAAUCAAGGAUCACCCCAUCCACCUCGAAAUAUUGGGCAGUGGUGCACAUCCCUCCCGUAAACCCAAACCAAGACCCAAAGGAAGUCUCUUUCGUGGGGAAAUCCAUGCCGACUCCGCAUAUGGCCAUAGAAGCUGCUGCAUACGAAGCGCUUGCUCGUCUUCGAUUCGUGGUACCCUAUGCCAGCGAACGAGGAUAUUAUUACUUUCCGAGUCGUGCAGCACCCGGAGAAGUAGCAUCUUUUCCCGGUGGACGAAUCGAAAGAGACCCAGUACUGGCCAACCUUGCCCAGUAUAUUAUCGCUCAAGAGCGUUUGACUCGGCGGGUAAUGGGUUAUCUCCAGAGCCUCGCUGAUUUAAAUCCUCAGAUCGCUAUUGGCAGACCACUGAGACCCGACCAGGAGAGACGCAUUCAUCGGCUAGUCAAUCCGCUUCCCCCGAUAGAAGAGGAGUGUGCCCCAGUACCAGAGACGUUUUCUCAGGACCCUGUCCAUUUACCGUUUUUAUUGUAGAUGUCACCGCUAUGUUUAUUAUCCCAGCAGUUAUUUAUGUGUUGCAACUUGUGCAUGGUAUCCUAAAUUUGUGCGACGGAUCAAAUAUUUGGUUUCAAUUGUGUGAGCAGUUUUACUGCUGUUAUUUUUGGCUCGCAAUAAAUUUGUAAGUGAGAUUUCUUUCCCCGAGUUGCUGCAGCGUAUACCUCUUCACGACAUAGAUUUUUUUAUUCACGCAGCACCAUAACAGCAGACUCACAACCACAACCACUCGACCACGUGCGCUACUUACAAAUCCUUGUGCACAUUUUGCACCUUACUGAUCACACCCGAGCACACCACAGUCUCAGUAGGAGAUAUUUGUGAGUAAUUAUUCGGGUGCAAGUGGCCUCCAGCACAAUGACAGUAGUUAGCACUCGAGGCCGCACUUAAUCCUCGUGAUCACCGCCACCGCGAAGAGCUAACACUCGAGCGGCAGCAUCACGACAAUCAUCAAGGAUCAUCGCGCACAGGAGCACGGAGAACCCCAGCAAUGCCGCGAAUCCUCCGCACACCAGGAUCAAGUACCAGUCCGGCAUCACCUCCGCCAUUAGAGCCUCGUCUCGAGCUCCUACAAACAGAAAUGGAGGAGAAUGAAGGAGAAGAAGAAGCGAGGCCAGGUGUGAGGUAGGAGAAAGGAGCACCGCGGUCAUUUUAUAGCUCGAGAUCGGUGUACGGUGGGCGAGGUCCACCAGCGCCGCUCCUCGCUCGAUCGCCGGUGUUCGGAGGUGAAUCCGCGAGCAGUGCCGAUAGUGCACUGGCCCGCGGGGUGAGUGCACGCUGCACCGGCAGCUAGCACGCCGCGCACUACCGCAGUACAACCUACAUGCCCUACGUGCUAAACGUCGCCGGUGGAGAAAAGCGCGGGAGAGCACGCGAGAGAGAGAUAGAAGAGAGAGCCAGAGGUAGAAGAAGAGACUGACAGUGGGCCCCGGGUCCACCUGUCAGCCAGAGAGAGCACUGUGCUCUCGGGUACGACCAGCGUAUUUUAGUAAUUUAGAAUUUCUAUUCUAAAAUUACUGUAACCAAAGUGGAAAUAUCUCGUUUUUCCCGAACCAUGGAUUUUUCCACGCAAUGCCAGUAUACCACACUGUAGUUUUACACCACUUAUUGCCCUCUCAUUGUAGCCACAUUUUAUUGCAUAAGCAGGAUGAUUUUUUUUGUAAGAGCGAUGUUUGUUCAAAACAGCUUUUAACAAAUCUCGAGGACGAGAUUUUUCUUAAGGGGGGUAGUGUUGUAACACCCCAAAAUUUUGACCUUGUUUUAUUAAUUAAAAUUUUGCCAGGAAAUUAAAUUUUUAUUUUCUGGAUUUAUCUUUUGAUUUAAGAACCUCUCUUUUCUUUAAUAUUGUGGAGUUUUUACCCCGCGUGAAAACUUUCCAAAAAAAUAUUAUUGGACUUGUAUACUCUCUCAAUAAAACAAUUCUUUAUGAGUGGAUUUAUUUGCACAAUUGUGUUACCUGAGCUUUAUUUCUCUAAAAUGGGUUUUCAUAAGUUUUAGGGUCCCAUUUGCACUGCAACCCUCUCAAAUACUUCUUUAAAAUUCCCACCAAAAUUUGGAGAUGUCAUGUGAUGUUCCUAGAUCACUUUUGUGCAAAAAUAUCCUUUAGUCAGUUGGAGAUUUUGAGCUUUACCCCUAGUUUUCAAAUCUGGUCCAGAUUUCACUUUUACCCUACAACCUAUUUAAAUAUUCUUUUAAAACUUCCACCAAAAUUAGGGGAGGUCAGUAGGAGUAUAUUAUUCACCUUUCUGCAAAAACCCACUAAUGUCCUUUGGAAAAUUUGAGCAAAUCAUCCUCUUUUGCUCUCUGGUCCAGUUUGGUACUUUCUACUGCAACCCCAUUUUAUUUUGCUCUGUGGCCCAUGAUUCCUUUUCCUGCUUAUAGUCCUCUCUACCAAACCCUUAAGUCCAGGAGAAUGGACCCCUUUGGAGUAUUGUUGGUUCAUGAGAUAAUAACCUUUAGUUUCUGCCCAAAAUUGGUUUUCUCAAAUACUUGCACUAACAGGUUUCUGGUCUUGACCAAUUAACCUUGCCAUCAUCACCUACACCUAAAGAGACUAGGAUCUGGAGAUUUUGGCCACCCCAAGAGUUGCCUAGAUGCCCAUGGCAUUCUGUCGAGCACCUUGUGUUCAUGCACAGCUUUGGCAUAGUUUUAUGUUUGCACUGUGAUCUUGCCCCUCUGGACAAACCAGCAUGUCCACUAGUCUCCUAGCCACCCCUAACCCAGGCCUACUAAUCCCCAGCCUCACCCUAAUCCUCUAGCAUGCCCUGGCAUUGCGUCGAACACGUAGCGUGCGUGCUCUGGGCACGCCCAGAGCGCACGUUUUGCACGCGCUCGCAGUCGAGCCGCCGCGUCGCGCCCCUGGCCUUUGCUCGCCCGCAGGGCCGCGCCCCGGCCUCGCCCACUCGCCAGAACCCCCCAAGCCACCCUGGCGCCCUACAGCGCCGCCGUCAGAGCUUCCUUGGCGGCACGCCGGCGUCGGCAGCAGGCCUCUGCCAUGGACGGCGCCGCAAAAGCCACCCGCGCGCGCCAGCUGCCCCCUUGAACAGCUCGAGCUCAUCCACAAGUUCGUCGGCACGCGCUCGUCGCCGCCACGUCGUCCUGCAGCUACAGAACGACGGUUCGCCGUUCUUAUCCCCGGCCGCCACGAGAACCGACCUCGACCGCCUAUAAAAGGAGCCCCCGAGCUUGUCCAAACCCUCAGGCGACCUCAGGCCAUCUCCCUAGUACUCCCAUAGCCUGCAAUUGACCAAGGAAGGCCGUCUUCCCCCUCUCCGGUCAGCUCGGCCGCCGCCACGUUCCAGUCCCGCUCGUCGCAACCAGGACCUCCCCGGUCCAUCCAGCACCGCCAUUCCACUCUCCUAGACCUUGCGGAGCCACCCCACCUCUCAAACUUGAUCGGGAACCACCGUAGCUCAAAGCCCCGAUUGCUCCCAAACCACCGCCCGCCGCGGAGCUCGCCGCCGGUGACCCCCUCCACCCCCGCCAGCCUAUCAACCACUAGAGGACCGCCCCGGGCCAGCGGACGCAUCCCUGCCCUCGGAAUCCCGUGGGGAGCCGCCGUUCGCCGGCGUUGAUCGCCGGAGCUCCGCCUCCGUUCGGCCAGAAGAGAGAAUGGCGCGGCGACUGGUCAAACCUGACCAGUGGGCCCAAGGGACCCACUGUCAGUGACCCACGACCCGACCCGCGCUGGUUUAUGUGAAAGCAUAAACCCAUAAGUGCGUCUCCUCCGUCUCGAAAACGUAUUUCUAUUCGAACCAUUUUCUUUUCUGUUUUAUUUAAAAACAGACUUUGACUGGCUAUAACUUUUUGAAUAUAAGUCCAAAUGACUUGAUUCGUUUUCUGUUGUUUCUCAAAUUCUGUCUAGUUUAUUUUAGUAUUUAUUUAAAAAAAAUCCAAACAACUUUUUGUACUGUUUUUAAACUAUGCAUUAAUUUGAAUAUUUUCAGAAAUAGGAUUUUGAAGAAGAAGGCAACCUUCAAAAAGUGCACCCCCACUUGCAUACACUUGAAGGUAAGCAUUCUGAACCCGGGAAUAAUAUUUUUGGGUGUUGUUUGAUACGGCUACAACACCUCCUUGACAUGGAGCAUUCGUUAUUUUAUGUGGCGAUACAAUCAUACACAUGAGUGCAUAAUAGAGAUUCUUUGCUGUUAGAAAUGGAUAUGCUGGUGAUACUAAUCAUCCUCGUAAGCUUUUCAUGCAUACCGGAAGGAAGCCGGGAAAAUCUCUGUCUUGGGUAGACACGAGCUUGUCCCUAGUUCCUCGUCGAGACGAGUGUGUCCGGUAUGGCAUGAUGAGGUAUGAUGAGUGGUGAUUCUGUCUGUUAGUUGAAAUAUAUUUGUCAUGCUAAUCAUACAGGGAACACUUGGACCUCCUGAGUCGGCCGUUGAUCGAGUCUUGUUCCAGUAACCCCCAUACUUGUUUCGUACUACCACUUGUCCCUGCCGCAGGUAGGGUACGGUUCAGUAAGUUGUCAACCCCUCCAAGCACACACCGUACAGAGAGGCCAUGGUGGAAGAUACCGGAGGCAUCCGGUAGGCAUGCCACCUGGUCCGGGGCAUGGGUGUUUCCGGUUGUAGCCGAGGGGAGUGGCUUCCCUAGUUUGCGCGCGGUAUAAAUUUUGUGAUCCCAUGCUAAUCGAGGUUGUAGCCUCCCCACUUAGAGUUUUGCUUGACAGGUGUCGUGGGUGAUUCCAGACACCGGUAAGUAGGCUGGUGUGUGCGGUCAGGUGUGUUUUCAACUAAAAGACCGUAGACGAAAUUAGUCCCAAUGGACUAAAGAAAUCCGUUACUCGUGGGUAAAGAGUACACACUCUGCAGAGGUUAAAUCUAUUCGGAUAGCUGUGUCCAUGGGUAAGGACUAUAGUCUGAGAUGGGUCUAGUGUCGGUCUUCGGAGGAAAAACUGCUAAACCAGAACAUUGAUUAUGACCUAUGACAUAUGAGUAUUAUGAUUAUUAUUAUUGUGGACUAAUCAUUUACAUUAUUUGAAUUAUUGAGUAUGCCUGGGACGGUUCUACCUCCUAGAUAUUCACUGUGAUCAUUCUCUUAUAAGCCCUUUAUGUGGCGUCGCUCAGACGCCCGACUGUGGCAUGCUUGUUAUUUCUUUUAUUUAUAAGCCCUUUAUGUGGUGUCGCAUAGACGCCCGACUGUGGCAUGCUUGUUAUUUCUUUUAUUUAUAAGCCCUUUAUGAGGUGUCGCAUAGACGCCCGACAGUGGCAUGCUUGUUAUUUCUUUUAUUUAUAAGCCCUUUAUGUGGUGUCGCUCAGACGCCCGACUGUGGCAUGCUUGUUAUUUAUAUUAUUUAUAAGCCCUUUAUGAGGUGUCGCAUAGACGCCCGACUGUGGCAUGCUUGUUAUUUCUUUUAUUUAUAAGCCCUUUAUGUGGUGUCGCUCAGACGCCUGACUGAGGCAUGAUUUAUCUUAUUAUCCUUCCGAGGCGUCGCUUCAGACACUCGAUCGGUGCAUUCUAUUUCCACUCCCGUAUUGCAUAUUCAUAAUUUAUAUGAACAACCUGCAUGCGUGCAUCAUGGAUUUUGUUUAUUUCGUGACUGACGUUAUGAUCAUAGAAUAUUUCGGAGCAUGAUUAUCCCUUGUUAUAUUAUAC